This 253-nucleotide ribosomal RNA is filed under the name uncultured bacterium. RNAcentral's name for it is "partial 16S ribosomal RNA". It matches the Rfam family "Bacterial small subunit ribosomal RNA", at positions 524 to 776 of the family's 1533-position model. The record is from RNAcentral.
UACGGAGGUUGCGAGCGUUGUUCGGAAUUACUGGGCGUAAAGCGCGUGUAGGCGGCCUUUUAAGUCUGGUGUGAAAGCCCGGGGCUCACCCCCGGAAGUGCACUGGAUACUGAGAGGCUCGAGUACCGGAGAGGAGGGUGGAAUUCCUGGUGUAGCGGUGAAAUGCGUAGAUAUCAGGAGGAACACAGGUGGCGAAGGCGGCCCUCUGGACGGAUACUGACGCUGAGACGCGACAGCGUGGGGAGCAAACAGG